GGAAUUGUUCGCAAUGGGCGCAAGCCUGACGACGCAACGCCGCGUGGAGGAUGAAGAUCUUCGGGUCGUAAACUCCUGUCGAGUGGGAAGAAUAGUUGCGGGGUAAGUAUCUCCGGAGCCUGACGGUACCACUAAAGGAAGCCCCGGCUAACCCCGGGCCAGCAGCCGCGGUAAUACGGGGGGGGCAAGCGUUGUUCGGAAUUACUGGGCGUAAAGGGCUCGUAGGCGGCCAACUAAGUCGGAUGUGAAAUCCCCAGGCUCAACCUGGGAACUGCAUCCGAUACUGGAUGGCUUGAAUUCGGGAGAGGGAUGCAGAAUUCCAGGUGUAGCGGUGAAAUGCGUAGAUAUCUGGAGGAAUACCGGUGGCGAAGGCGGCAUCCUGGACCGACAUUGACGCUGAGGAGCGAAAGCUAGGGGAGCAAA
This 423-nucleotide ribosomal RNA is filed under the name uncultured bacterium. Its description in RNAcentral is "bacterial SSU rRNA". It matches the Rfam family "Bacterial small subunit ribosomal RNA", at positions 358 to 772 of the family's 1533-position model. The record is from RNAcentral.